GAGUUUGAUCUUGGCUCAGAUUGAACGCUGGCGGCAUGCCUUACACAUGCAAGUCGAACGGUAACAGGUCUUCGGAUGCUGACGAGUGGCGAACGGGUGAGUAAUACAUCGGAACGUGCCCAGACGUGGGGGAUAACGAGGCGAAAGCUUUGCUAAUACCGCAUACGAUCUAAGGAUGAGAGCAGGGGACCGCAAGGCCUUGCGCGUUUGGAGCGGCCGAUGGCAGAUUAGGUAGUUGGUGGGAUAAAAGCUUACCAAGCCGACGAUCUGUAGCUGGUCUGAGAGGACGACCAGCCACACUGGGACUGAGACACGGCCCAGACUCCUACGGGAGGCAGCAGUGGGAAUUUUGGACAAUGGGCGAAAGCCUGAUCCAGCAAUGCCGCGUGCAGGAUGAAGGCC
This 402-nucleotide ribosomal RNA is filed under the name uncultured microorganism. Its description in RNAcentral is "bacterial SSU rRNA". It matches the Rfam family "Bacterial small subunit ribosomal RNA", at positions 9 to 416 of the family's 1533-position model. The record is from RNAcentral.